Molecule: ribosomal RNA, 527 nt
Filed under: Alternaria arborescens
Lineage: Eukaryota; Fungi; Ascomycota; Dothideomycetes; Pleosporales; Pleosporaceae
Description: eukaryotic LSU rRNA
Rfam family: 5.8S ribosomal RNA (bases 152-305)
Source: RNAcentral
GCGGGCUGGACCUCUCGGGGUUACAGCCUUGCUGAAUUAUUCACCCUUGUCUUUUGCGUACUUCUUGUUUCCUUGGUGGGUUCGCCCACCACUAGGACAAACAUAAACCUUUUGUAAUUGCAAUCAGCGUCAGUAACAAAUUAAUAAUUACAACUUUCAACAACGGAUCUCUUGGUUCUGGCAUCGAUGAAGAACGCAGCGAAAUGCGAUAAGUAGUGUGAAUUGCAGAAUUCAGUGAAUCAUCGAAUCUUUGAACGCACAUUGCGCCCUUUGGUAUUCCAAAGGGCAUGCCUGUUCGAGCGUCAUUUGUACCCUCAAGCUUUGCUUGGUGUUGGGCGUCUUGUCUCUAGCUUUGCUGGAGACUCGCCUUAAAGUAAUUGGCAGCCGGCCUACUGGUUUCGGAGCGCAGCACAAGUCGCACUCUCUAUCAGCAAAGGUCUAGCAUCCAUUAAGCCUUUUUUUCAACUUUUGACCUCGGAUCAGGUAGGGAUACCCGCUGAACUUAAGCAUAUCAUAGCGGGGAGAGA